UACAGAGGUCUCAAGCGUUGUUCGGAUUCAUUGGGCGUAAAGGGUGCGUAGGUGGCGCGCUAAGUCAGGUGUGAAAUCUCGGGGCUUAACUCCGAAACUGCAUUUGAUACUGCGGUGCUUGAGGACUGGAGAGGAGACUGGAAUUUACGGUGUAGCAGUGAAAUGCGUAGAGAUCGUAAGGAAGACCAGUGGCGAAGGCGGGUCUCUGGACAGUUCCUGACACUGAGGCACGAAGGCCAGGGGAGCAAACGGG
This 253-nucleotide ribosomal RNA is filed under the name uncultured bacterium. Its description in RNAcentral is "partial 16S ribosomal RNA". It matches the Rfam family "Bacterial small subunit ribosomal RNA", at positions 524 to 776 of the family's 1533-position model. The record is from RNAcentral.